This 465-nucleotide ribosomal RNA is filed under the name Vreelandella stevensii. RNAcentral's name for it is "partial 16S ribosomal RNA". It matches the Rfam family "Bacterial small subunit ribosomal RNA", at positions 338 to 795 of the family's 1533-position model. Lineage: Bacteria; Pseudomonadati; Pseudomonadota; Gammaproteobacteria; Oceanospirillales; Halomonadaceae. The record is from RNAcentral.
CCUACGGGUGGCAGCAGUGGGGAAUAUUGGACAAUGGGGGGAACCCUGAUCCAGCCAUGCCGCGUGUGUGAAGAAGGCCCUCGGGUUGUAAAGCACUUUCAGUGAGGAAGAACGCCUGGUGGUUAAUACCCAUCAGGAAAGACAUCACUCACAGAAGAAGCACCGGCUAACUCCGUGCCAGCAGCCGCGGUAAUACGGAGGGUGCGAGCGUUAAUCGGAAUUACUGGGCGUAAAGCGCGCGUAGGUGGCUUGAUAAGCCGGUUGUGAAAGCCCCGGGCUCAACCUGGGAACGGCAUCCGGAACUGUCAAGCUAGAGUGCAGGAGAGGAAGGUAGAAUUCCCGGUGUAGCGGUGAAAUGCGUAGAGAUCGGGAGGAAUACCAGUGGCGAAGGCGGCCUUCUGGACUGACACUGACACUGAGGUGCGAAAGCGUAGGUAGCAAACAGGAUUAGAUACCCGGGUAGUC